CCUACGGGUGGCUGCAGUGGGGAAUAUUGGACAAUGGGCGAAAGCCUGAUCCAGCCAUGCCGCGUGUGUGAAGAAGGCCUUCGGGUUGUAAAGCACUUUCAGUGGGGAAGAAAGCCUUGGGGCUAAUACCCUCGAGGAAGGACAUCACCCACAGAAGAAGCACCGGCUAACUCCGUGCCAGCAGCCGCGGUAAUACGGAGGGUGCGAGCGUUAAUCGGAAUUACUGGGCGUAAAGCGCGCGUAGGCGGUCUGAUAAGCCGGUUGUGAAAGCCCCGGGCUCAACCUGGGAACGGCAUCCGGAACUGUCAGGCUAGAGUGCAGGAGAGGAAGGUAGAAUUCCCGGUGUAGCGGUGAAAUGCGUAGAGAUCGGGAGGAAUACCAGUGGCGAAGGCGGCCUUCUGGACUGACACUGACGCUGAGGUGCGAAAGCGUGGGUAGCAAACAGGAUUAGACACCCGAGUAGUC
This 465-nucleotide ribosomal RNA is filed under the name Vreelandella stevensii. RNAcentral describes it as "partial 16S ribosomal RNA". It matches the Rfam family "Bacterial small subunit ribosomal RNA", at positions 338 to 795 of the family's 1533-position model. Lineage: Bacteria; Pseudomonadati; Pseudomonadota; Gammaproteobacteria; Oceanospirillales; Halomonadaceae. The record is from RNAcentral.